GNAAUUAUUGGGCGUAAAGAGCUUGUAGGCGGUUGGUCGCNUCUGCUGUGAAAGGCUGGGGCUUAACCCUGGUUUUGCAGUGGNUACGGGCUAACUAGAGUGCAGUAGGGGAGUCUGGAAUUCCUGGUGUAGCGGUGGAAUGCGCAGAUAUCAGGAGGAACACCGAUGGCGAAGGCAGGUCUCUGGGCUGUAACUGACGCUGAGAAGCGAAAGCAUGGGGAGCGAACAGGAUUAGAUACCCUGGUAGUCCAUGCCGUAAACGUUGGGCACUAGGUGUGGGGGACAUUCCACGUUUUCCGCGCCGUAGCUAACGCAUUAAGUGCCCCGCCUGGGGAGUACGGCCGCAAGGCUAAAACUCAAAGAAAUUGACGGGGGCCCGCACAAGCGGCGGAGCAUGCGGAUUAAUUCGAUGCAACGCGAAGAACCUUACCAAGGCUUGACAUAUACUGGACUGCGUCAGAGAUGGCGUUUCCCUUCGGGACUGGUAUACAGGUGGUGCAUGGUUGUCGUCAGCUCGUGUCGUGAGAUGUUGGGUUAAGUCCCGCAACGAGCGCAACCCUCGUUCUAUGUUGCCAGCACGUGAUGGUGGGGACUCAUAGGAGACUGCCGGGGCCAACUCGGAGGAAGGUGGGGAUGACGUCAAAUCAUCAUGCCCCUUAUGUCUUGGGCUUCACGCAAGCUACAAUGGCCGGUACAGAGGGUUGCGAUACUGUGAGGUGGAGCUAAUCCCUAAAAGCCGGUCUCAGUUCGGAUUGGGGUCUGCAACUCGACCCCAUGAAGUCGGAGUCGCUAGUAAUCGCAGAUCAGCAACGCUGCGGUGAAUACGUUCCCGGGCCUUGUACACACCGCCCGUCAAGUCACGAAAGUUGGUAACACCCGAAGCCGGU
This 887-nucleotide ribosomal RNA is filed under the name uncultured bacterium. RNAcentral's name for it is "bacterial SSU rRNA". It matches the Rfam family "Bacterial small subunit ribosomal RNA", at positions 547 to 1431 of the family's 1533-position model. The record is from RNAcentral.